Molecule: ribosomal RNA, 253 nt
Filed under: uncultured bacterium
Lineage: Bacteria
Description: partial 16S ribosomal RNA
Rfam family: Bacterial small subunit ribosomal RNA
Source: RNAcentral
UACGAGGGGGGCAAAUGUUGUUUGGAAUCACUGGGCGUAAAGGGAGCGUAGGCGGGUUCUUAAGUAAGGUGUUUAAUCCCGGGGCCCAACCCCGGACCGGCACUUUAAACUGGGAAUCUUGAAUAGUGGAGAGGUCGGUGGAAUUGGGGGUGUAGCGGUGGAAUGCGUAGAGAUCCCCAAGAACACCAGUUGCGAAGGCGGCCGACUGGACACAUAUUGACGCUGAGGCUCGAAAGCAUGGGGAGCAAACAGG